RNAcentral lists this transfer RNA (75 nucleotides) under Gammaproteobacteria bacterium. Its description in RNAcentral is "tRNA-Gln". It matches the Rfam family "tRNA". From Rfam's summary of the family: Transfer RNA (tRNA) molecules are approximately 80 nucleotides in length. Their secondary structure includes four short double-helical elements and three loops (D, anti-codon, and T loops). Lineage: Bacteria; Pseudomonadati; Pseudomonadota; Gammaproteobacteria. The record is from RNAcentral. RNAcentral also lists the same sequence under 2 other names.
UGGGGCGUAGCCAAGCGGUAAGGCAACGGGUUUUGAUCCCGUCAUGCCCAGGUUCGAAUCCUGGCGCCCCAGCCA